AUGCACGCUGGCGGCGUGCCUCAUACCUGCAAGUCGAGCGAACAGAUGAGGAGCUUGCUCCUCUGACGUUAGCGGCGGACGGGUGAGUAACACGUGGAUAACCUACCUAUAAGACUGGGAUAACUUCGGGAAACCGGAGCUAAUACCGGAUAAUAUAUUGAACCGCAUGGUUCAAUAGUGAAAGACGGUUUUGCUGUCACUUAUAGAUGGAUCCGCGCCGCAUUAGCUAGUUGGUAAGGUAACGGCUUACCAAGGCAACGAUGCGUAGCCGACCUGAGGGGGUGAUCGGCCACACUGGAACUGAGACACGGUCCAGACUCCUACGGGAGGCAGCAGUAGGGAAUCUUCCGCAAUGGGCGAAAGCCUGACGGAGCAACGCCGCGUGAGUGAUGAAGGUCUUCGGAUCGUAAAACUCUGUUAUUAGGGAAGAACAAAUGUGUAAGUAACUAUGCACGUCUUGACGGUACCUAAUCAGAAAGCCACGGCUAACUACGUG
RNAcentral lists this ribosomal RNA (496 nucleotides) under uncultured bacterium. Its description in RNAcentral is "partial 16S ribosomal RNA". It matches the Rfam family "Bacterial small subunit ribosomal RNA", at positions 29 to 507 of the family's 1533-position model. The record is from RNAcentral.